UCUGGUAAUGAUGGCAGAGAGGUCACACCCGUUCCCAUACCGAACACGGAAGUUAAGCUCUCUAGCGCCGAUGGUAGUUGGGACCUUGUCCCUGU
This 95-nucleotide ribosomal RNA is filed under the name Bacillus anthracis (anthrax bacterium). Lineage: Bacteria; Bacillati; Bacillota; Bacilli; Caryophanales; Bacillaceae. RNAcentral also lists the same sequence under 1 other name. The record is from RNAcentral.